This 368-nucleotide ribosomal RNA is filed under the name uncultured organism. Its description in RNAcentral is "bacterial LSU rRNA". It matches the Rfam family "Bacterial large subunit ribosomal RNA", at positions 2099 to 2465 of the family's 2925-position model. The record is from RNAcentral.
CUUUACUGUAGCCUGGUAUUGGGUUCGGGCUUUGACUGCGCAGGAUAGGUGGGAGACUGAGAAGUGUGCCUUGUGGGGCACAUAGAGUCAACGGUGAGAUACCACUCUUUCAGAGCUAGGGUUCUAACGGUCACCCGUCAUCCGGGGACCGGACAGUAUCAGGUGGGCAGUUUGACUGGGGCGGUCGCCUCCUAAAAGGUAACGGAGGCGCGCAAAGGUGUUCUCAGGCUGGUUGGAAAUCAGCCGUAGAGUGUAAAGGCAGAAGAACGCUUGACUGUGAGAGUGACAACUCAAGCAGGGUGGAAACACGGCCUUAGUGAUCCGACGGUAUGCGCGUGGAAGUGCCGUCGCUCAACGGAUAAAAGUUA